GACGAACGCUGGCGGCACGCCUAACACAUGCAAGUCGAGCGGAGAUUGAGAGCUUGCUCUCAUGAUCAGUGGCGGACGGGUGAGUAACACGUGAGCAACCUGCCUUUCAGAGGGGGACAACAGUUGGAAACGACUGCUAAUACCGCAUAACAUCGUUGAAUGGCAUCGUUUGACGAUCAAAGGAGCAAUCCGCUGAAAGAUGGGCUCGCGUCUGAUUAGAUAGUUGGUGAGGUAACGGCCCACCAAGUCGACGAUCAGUAGCCGGACUGAGAGGUUGAUCGGCCACAUUGGGACUGAGACACGGCCCAGACUCCUACGGGAGGCAGCAGUGGGGGAUAUUGGACAAUGGGGGAAACCCUGAUCCAGCGAUGCCGCGUGAGGGAAGAAGGUUUUCGGAUUGUAAACCUCUGUGGACAGCGACGAUAAUGACGGUAGCUGUUUAGAAAGCCACGGCUAACUACGUGCCAGCAGCCGAC
RNAcentral lists this ribosomal RNA (476 nucleotides) under uncultured bacterium. RNAcentral describes it as "bacterial SSU rRNA". It matches the Rfam family "Bacterial small subunit ribosomal RNA", at positions 28 to 518 of the family's 1533-position model. The record is from RNAcentral.